GCCUGCAUGGUCCCUAAAAGCUUAGUCUUUUCACCACGUCUCUCUGGAUAGCAGCAGCAGCCUCCAGACAGCCUGCAGACUGCGUGUGUGUGGUGUGUUGUGGGGUGUGGGGUGUGUGUGGUGUGUGUAGUGUGUCGGGUGUAUGUGUGUGUCUGGUAUGUGCGUUGCAUGCAUGUGGUGUAUAGGAAUGUGUGGUCUGGGCUCUGUGUGGUGCAUGUGUGUGAGGGUAAUUUUGUGGUGUGGGGUAUGUGUGCACUAUGUGUAUAAAAUUGUGUGUUGGUGGAGGGUGUGGGUUGGGGCUGUGGGAUGAUCAUCACUGGAAGGUGAACCGCAGCUCCAUGAUAACCUUUUGUGCAUACACGUCAUUUGUAAUUAGCCAGGUCUGGAGAGUUCGAACUGCAGCUAUCCACAGAAGAAAGUCCAAAUUCCUUAUGUGGCAUUCAAGGCCCUCUGUAAUCCAAUGAGAUCCACGUUUCCAGCUGUUUCUCUUCUUCUUCUCCCCUAGGUGCACACAUGUGAUACUGUUUUGUAUCAAGGCAGGAUCAUGAGGUACAUAGAACAGUGAAAUUCACAGAGACAGAAAGUUGAAUGGUGGUUUCCAGGGGCAAAAAAAAAAACAAGGGAAGAUUCACACUCCCUUGCAGGUUUCUCUCCACAGACCUCACCAGGUGUCAAAAAAAGAGUUCUCCAGGGGAUUCCAAUGUCUGCCAAGCUGUAAAGCCAUCGGCCUUUUGGGUAGUUAUCUUCAUUUCUUCUUUGGGGAGAAGCUUGAUUUUCUGUAAGCUGCAGAAGAUAGCUCAAACCAGCAGCUCAGCCAGUUAAGGGGACGGAGGCUGCUGGUCUGCAUCCUUCCAAUGGUCUUUCGUCUCCCUUUUUCUCCUAACUUAAAGCUUUCAUGAUGGAGAAGUCUUCCCUGUUGUCUGCAAUUUUCCUUCUCUCAAAACAACCUUCUGAAUCCUCUUUUGGGGUGGGGUUUCAGAUGUUGUGAAACCAUCACAUGCUUAUGAACUAGCAGACAUACAGCACCGGAAGUUGAGAGGGUGGACUGCUAUUAGACUGCCUGGGCUGAGUCCUGAGGGCACCUCUUGCUUGCUUGAAUGACUUCGGGCAAGUUACUUCACCUCUCCAAGAUGUCAUCGGGGCUCAUCAAAGUACCCGCCCCAUGAGGUCUCCUUGUGAGAACAACAUGAGAAAAGCCUGUGCAAAAUGCUUGCCUGCCACGUAGAAAAAAAGCUUCCAUAAAUGUUGGUUCAUAUUGUGAGCUUUCAAAUCAACCAAGUGUGAAUAAUUUCUACUUCAUUCCAUUGGCUAUGGCAGGGGAAUACAAAGAUUUGUCAGAGCCAUUUCCAGCCUACAGGAGUUUACAGCUAUCUGACUUUACAGCUACGAGUGCCGUGAGAGAGCUACAAACCCAAUGCUGCAGGUGUUCAAAGUCAGAGAUUUAAUAACCACGGAGCCGGGAAUUAGGGAAAGCCUAAUG
Molecule: long non-coding RNA, 1480 nt
Filed under: Homo sapiens (human)
Lineage: Eukaryota; Metazoa; Chordata; Mammalia; Primates; Hominidae
Description: HSALNT0022704
Source: RNAcentral